GACGAACGCUGGCGGCGUGCUUAACACAUGCAAGUCGAACGGAAAGGCCACUUUCGUGGGGUACUCGCGUGGCGAACGGGCGAGUAACACAUGAGUAACUUGCCCUUCUCUUUGAGAUAACUUACGGCAACUGGCGCUAAUACCGGCCAGGAGAUCCUGCUGCCUGGAGGGGGCUGGAGAGUUUCGGCGGUUGGGGGUGGACUCGAGGCGUAUCCGCUUGUUGGUGGGGUAGUGGCUUACCAAGGCGUUGACGGGGAGCCGGACAGUGAGAGUGACCCGCGACACUGGGACUGAGAGACGGCCCAGGCUCCGACGGGAGGGAGAAGUGGGGAAGCCUGAACAAGGGGUGGAAGCCUGAUGCAGAAACGCCGCGGGCGGGAGGACGGUCUUCGGGUUGAAAACCGAAUUCGCUCAUGACGAAGCUUUGUGUGACGGUAGUGGGUAAAGAAGCACCGGCUAACUACGUG
Molecule: ribosomal RNA, 467 nt
Filed under: uncultured bacterium
Lineage: Bacteria
Description: partial 16S ribosomal RNA
Rfam family: Bacterial small subunit ribosomal RNA
Source: RNAcentral